GACUCACUUUGUGGACCAGGCUGGUCUUGAACUCCUGGCCUCAGAUGAUCCUUCUGCUUCAGCCUUCUAAAUGCUGGAA
RNAcentral lists this microRNA precursor (79 nucleotides) under Otolemur garnettii (small-eared galago). Its description in RNAcentral is "miRNA (ENSOGAG00000025099.1)". Lineage: Eukaryota; Metazoa; Chordata; Mammalia; Primates; Galagidae. The record is from RNAcentral.